GAUGAACGCUGGCGGCGUGCCUAAUACAUGCAAGUCGAGCGAACAGACGAGGAGCUUGCUCCUCUGACGUUAGCGGCGGACGGGUGAGUAACACGUGGAUAACCUACCUAUAAGACUGGGAUAACUUCGGGAAACCGGAGCUAAUACCGGAUAAUAUAUUGAACCGCAUGGUUCAAUAGUGAAAGACGGUUUUGCUGUCACUUGUAGAUGGAUCCGCGCCGCAUUAGCUAGUUGGUAAGGUAACGGCUUACCAAGGCAACGAUGCGUAGCCGACCUGAGAGGGGGAUCGGCGACACUGGAACUGAAACACGGUCAAGACGCCUAAGGGAGGGAGCAGUAGGGAAUCUUCCGCAAUGGGCGAAAACCUGACGGAGCAACGCCGCGUGAGUGAAGAAGGUCUUCGGAUCGUAAAACUCUGUUAUUAGGGAAGAACAAAUGUGUAAGUAACUAAGCACGUCUUGACGGUACCUAAUCAGAAAGCCACGGCUAACUACGUG
RNAcentral lists this ribosomal RNA (497 nucleotides) under uncultured bacterium. RNAcentral describes it as "partial 16S ribosomal RNA". It matches the Rfam family "Bacterial small subunit ribosomal RNA", at positions 28 to 507 of the family's 1533-position model. The record is from RNAcentral.